UAUUUGAUAAGUUCCUACGUGGAACGGAACGUUCCACAGCUGUCAAAAUAAUUUUACAGAACCUAUUGUAAUUGUUUAAGGGUUCAUUGACAUCAUACUCGAAAUCCAAAAGUAAUCGAUUAACAGUUUCAGAAUAAAGAUCCCAAUUAACGAGACGUAGGUUUAUACGAUUUAACAAAAGUUUAUUAACUUCAUCUAUAGGAGCAUGUUGUUCACCUGACGGAGUUGAUGAAGAGUUCUUUGUGUUUAUUUUAGUAAAAGUCGGCAGAUGCUGCAACGCUCAGAAUUCUUACAGAAUUUAGCUAAAUGUCCAUACCUCAAGCACCGGUAGCAUUGUUUAACUGGUGGUAUAUAUGGAGUGACAUUGUGGCGCCAACCUCCAAUAUCCAGAUAUUCAGGUAAUACAGAUGCAGCAAAAGUAAUUGUCACGGUUAGAGUUGGCUGUAACACAUAUCCAUGAGUCAAGAUUCUGAGUCAGUAGAAGUAUCUUCCGAAUAUAUAUCCUUGUCAUUACAAGGUUCAUGGUCUACAUCACCUGAAUCGUCAUCUUUUUUUUUCCUUUUUCUACAACUGCGCUUCCCCAUGAAUGCUAAUUAUAUUACUGUCGCUGAAUUUAGUGAAAAUAUAAUAUUUUAUUCAAUAAUAAGAAUUGAUAGAGAUAGUUUUAAUAAAUUAAUAAAAAAAAUUUAAAAAACCCGCUUGUUCUUAUUCGAGUUUCCCGCCU
This is a long non-coding RNA of Galleria mellonella (greater wax moth), 724 nucleotides long. RefSeq lists it as uncharacterized. The transcript is spliced from 3 exons. Lineage: Eukaryota; Metazoa; Arthropoda; Insecta; Lepidoptera; Pyralidae. The record is from RefSeq and is a predicted model, not a curated record.